UAGGGAAUCUUCGGCAAUGGACGAAAGUCUGACCGAGCAACGCCGCGUGAGUGAAGAAGGUUUUCGGAUCGUAAAACUCUGUUGUUAGAGAAGAACAAGGACGUUAGUAACUGAACGUCCCCUGACGGUAUCUAACCAGAAAGCCACGGCUAACUACGUGCCAGCAGCCGCGGUAAUACGUAGGUGGCAAGCGUUGUCCGGAUUUAUUGGGCGUAAAGCGAGCGCAGGCGGUUUCUUAAGUCUGAUGUGAAAGCCCCCGGCUCAACCGGGGAGGGUCAUUGGAAACUGGGAGACUUGAGUUCAGAAGAGGAGAGUGGAAUUCCAUGUGUAGCGGUGAAAUGCGUAGAUAUAUGGAGGAACACCAGUGGCGAAGGCGGCUCUCUGGUCUGUAACUGACGCUGAGGCUCGAAAGCGUGGGGAGCAAACAGG
RNAcentral lists this ribosomal RNA (429 nucleotides) under Gemmatimonadota bacterium. RNAcentral describes it as "Gemmatimonadetes bacterium partial 16S ribosomal RNA". It matches the Rfam family "Bacterial small subunit ribosomal RNA", at positions 355 to 776 of the family's 1533-position model. Lineage: Bacteria; Pseudomonadati; Gemmatimonadota. The record is from RNAcentral.